UACGUAGGGGGCAAGCGUUAUCCGGAAUUACUGGGUGUAAAGGGUGAGUAGGCGGCAUGGUAAGCCAGAUGUGAAAGCCUUGGGCUUAACCCGAGGAUUGCAUUUGGAACUAUCAAGCUAGAGUACAGGAGAGGAUAGCGGAAUUCCUAGUGUAGCGGUGAAAUGCGUAGAUAUUAGGAAGAACACCAGUGGCGAAGGCGGCUUUCUGGACUGAAACUGACGCUGAGGCACGAAAGCGUGGGGAGCGAACAGG
This 253-nucleotide ribosomal RNA is filed under the name uncultured bacterium. RNAcentral's name for it is "partial 16S ribosomal RNA". It matches the Rfam family "Bacterial small subunit ribosomal RNA", at positions 524 to 776 of the family's 1533-position model. The record is from RNAcentral.